Molecule: transfer RNA, 71 nt
Filed under: Candidatus Brocadiia bacterium
Lineage: Bacteria; Pseudomonadati; Planctomycetota; Candidatus Brocadiia
Description: tRNA-His
Rfam family: tRNA
About the family: Transfer RNA (tRNA) molecules are approximately 80 nucleotides in length. Their secondary structure includes four short double-helical elements and three loops (D, anti-codon, and T loops). Further hydrogen bonds mediate the characteristic L-shaped molecular structure. tRNAs have two regions of fundamental functional importance: the anti-codon, which is responsible for specific mRNA codon recognition, and the 3' end, to which the tRNAs corresponding amino acid is attached (by aminoacyl-tRNA synthetases). tRNAs cope with the degeneracy of the genetic code in two manners: having more than one tRNA (with a specific anti-codon) for a particular amino acid; and 'wobble' base-pairing, i.e. permitting non-standard base-pairing at the 3rd anti-codon position.
Source: RNAcentral
GGGACUGUAGGUCAAGAGCAGACCCCCCGGAUGUGGCCCGGGCAAUGUCGGUGCGAUUCCGACCGGUCCCU